GAGGGAGGAAGACAUGAAGAGAGAGACGCGGAGAGACAGACAGAUGGAGAAGCAUGCAGCCCGGAGAGGAGGAGAGACAAAAGCGUGGAGGAAGUGAGCGGCGUGUGACCAUGUGCUCAGCGCUGCCAUCCCACAACGUGUGACGCCCCGCAGAGUCUCGCGGCGCUCCGGGAAAGAAGGGAAAAAAGAACGCCGAGGGGUGUCGGCGACGGAGACGGGACGUGAGUGACGUCGCCCCCUCCUCCACCUUCUCGACUUUUAACACGGACUGGACCCCCACCAUGCUGCUGUUAAAAAGCCGGAAUCUCCACUUGGAAGCAACUUAACGGAGGACUCUUGGAGGUGUAAAGGGGACAGGACAGGACAGGACAGGACAGGACAGGACGGUGGACGGGACGUGAGGGUUCCCCCCUUCCAAGUCUGAAAGACCCGAGAAGGGUAAGUGGAAAACUGUCAUGUUGUCUGCAUGCGUUUGGGUCACAUGGCAACUCUUUUUCUCCGUGUGUGUGUGUGUGUGUGUGUGUGUGUGUGUGUGUGUGUGUGUGUGUGUGUGUGUGUGUGUGUGUGUGUGUGUGUGUGUGUGUGUGUGUGUGUGUGUGUGUGUGUGUGUGUGUGUGUGUGUGAGACCCUUUUCAUGUGAUGACGGCGGUUAACGGCAGAGGCGCCACUUCCUUCACCCCCCUCCCCCCUCGUUCAUUUGACACAGAUAGCCGCACAGUCGGCAUGAAUGAAGUGUAGAGGAGGGAGGUGUGGUGGGUGGGGGGG
Long non-coding RNA from Entelurus aequoreus (snake pipefish), 765 nucleotides. RefSeq lists it as uncharacterized. The transcript has 3 exons. The record is from RefSeq and is a predicted model, not a curated record. NCBI's taxonomy places the organism in Eukaryota, Metazoa, Chordata, Actinopteri, Syngnathiformes, Syngnathidae.